This 300-nucleotide unclassified non-coding RNA is filed under the name uncultured Pyronemataceae. RNAcentral's name for it is "sequence contains 5.8S rRNA gene, ITS2". The stretch from base 1 to 74 matches the Rfam family "5.8S ribosomal RNA", at positions 81 to 154 of the family's 154-position model. The record is from RNAcentral. Lineage: Eukaryota; Fungi; Ascomycota; Pezizomycetes; Pezizales; Pyronemataceae.
CGGGUGAGUCAUCGAAUCUUUGAACGCACAUUGCGCCCUCUGGUAUUCCGGGGGGCAUGCCUGUUCGAGCGUCAUUAAAACUACUCAAGCUAAGGUUUUACCUUCUGCUUGGUCUUGGGUUUGAGGAUUCAAAACCCUCUCUCCGAAAUCCAGUGGCGAAUUGUUUGAGCUGUAGACGUAGUAAAACUUUCUACCCGUUGCAAGCGAGAAUAUAUUCAGCCAUAACCCCCAUACUUUUCUAGUUUGACCUCGGAUCAGGUAGGGAUACCCGCUGAACUUAAGCAUAUCAAUAAGCGGAGG